RNAcentral lists this long non-coding RNA (8771 nucleotides) under Gossypium barbadense (sea-island cotton). Its description in RNAcentral is "long non-coding RNA (GBAR_LNC021422)". Lineage: Eukaryota; Viridiplantae; Streptophyta; Magnoliopsida; Malvales; Malvaceae. The record is from RNAcentral.
GGCAAGGCUAGAAAAAUGUUGCCCCCCAAAACUCUAUGCCUGUAUUGCCUUUUCUUCUUUGGUGAUCAUUCGAUGGUGUGCAGGCUUUGCUUGGACUACUAUAAUUCCAGCAUGUGACUUUAUAUUUGAGCAUAGCUCUCCUCGAAGUUGUUCUAUCUCAAUGUAUUUGUGUACUUUUUCAUAUAAUGUUGGUAAGCCUUUUGGUGAUUCAUUUAUCAGCGUGCACCUUAACUGCUCGUGACCUACCCCAAUGAUGAACACCUAAAUAGUCUAAUAGUUUGUCACACCCUUUGUCUUCAUAGUUGUGAAACCGAAUUUGCCAAUAAAUUCCCUUAAAGGUGUGUCAUCCUGUAUUAAGUCGAGAAAAUGAACAACCAGUAAAAGAAAUUAUAUGACAUGCAUCAUUGAGAUAUUAUCUCAUCUAGAUCGCUUAACAAAUUCAUGUAAACUAAAAGUUCAAAAGAUAAUUCAUUUGCAAAAUAUUUCAAGUCAACAACCAGAUACUUUUAUUAACCUUAAAAGAGUUAUUACAUCUCAUGUACCAACUAAAAAUGCUCCAAUCUAUAUCGAUGCCCCCAUAAGGCAAUCUACUAGUGUAAAUGAAAGUAAGCCUCGCUUGAAGAAUGGUAGACUAAUAAGUUCCAAAGAGAAAAAAAAACUCUUUGUAAAAGGAAAUGAGUAAAUGCUCCAGAUAGUCAUAUUGUAGAGGGAAGUGCCUAAAAAGAGACCAAAGACAUAACUAAUAAGAAAACCCCCAAAAAUGUUCAAAUACAUGAAACCAAUGAUAAUAAAGAGAUCUUAAUAAGUUAUGUUAUUACAAUAAAAAGAUAGAAUAAAAAAAUAUAGUUGUCAACAACAUUUUUACUUAUAAUAUUGCUACUGAAAUAACAAUAGAAAAUGAGGAUAUUGAACUAAUACCUAUUGAAGAAUGUAGAAAUAAAAAGGAUUGACCAAAUUGGAAAGACGUAAUUGAAGCAUAAUUGAAUUCACUUGUUAAAAGUAAACACCUAUAGGUGUCAAACCUAUAGGUUAUAAACGAGCAUGUGUGAAAACAAAACGAGAAAAAUGAAUUCGUAAGAUACAAAGCAAGACUUGUAGCACAAGUGUUUUCACAAAGACCCAAUAUUGAUUAUGAAGUCACAUACUCUAUUGUGGUUGGUACAAUCAUGUUUAAAUAUCUUAUUAGUCUAGUAGUGCAUGAAAAACUUGAUAUCUAUUUAGUUGAUGUUAUUACAACUUAUUUAUAUGACUUACUUGAUAGUGAAGUUUAUAUGAAAAUAUUUUAAGGAUUUAAGAUCCUGAAAGGAUGCAAAGUUUCCUAAGAAAAUUGUUUAAUCAAAUUAAAGAAAUCAUUAUACGAAUUAAAACAAUUUGUAAGUAUAUGAUACAAUUUUCUUAGUGAAUAUUUGUUAAAUGAAGGUUAUAAAAAUGAUCCAAAUUAUUUAUGUGUUUUUAUAAAAAGAAUUGGAUCAAAAUUCUUUAUAAUAGUUUUUUUAUGUUAACAAUUUAAAUAUUAUUGGAACUCUUGUAGAGCUUCAAAAUGUGCAUUAAAUUGUUUAAAGAAUGACUUUGAGAUGAAAGAACUUAGAAAAAUAAAGUUUUGUCUCGCCCUGAAGAUCAAACAUUUAAAAUAUGGAAUUCAUGUCAUCAGUUAUUUUAUACAGAAAAUAUUUUAAAGAAAUUUUACAUGAAUAUAACACACCCAUUAAGUGCUCAAAUGAUUGUAAGAUCAUUAGAUGUGAAUAAAAACCCCUUUCGUCAUUAUGAAAAUGAUGAAGAGCUCAUUGAUCUUGAAGUACCAUAUCUUAGUGCCAUAGGGGCAUUAAUGUAUCUUGCAACAACAUACAACAUAAUAUAACAUUUCAUGCUAGUUUGUUAGAAAGAUUUAAAUUUUCUCUAACACAUAGGCAUUAAAAUGAAAUUAAUCAUAUAUUUAGAUAUUUGAGAGAGACAAUUGAUAUUGGGUUAUUUUACUCAAAUGUAACACAAUCUCAACUAGUUGGCUAUAAUGAUGUCAAAUUUUUAUCGAAUCCACAUAAAUGAUGAUCUCGAAUGUGAUAUCUAUUUAUGUGUGGUGGUAUAAUCAUAUAAUAACAUUUGAGAAAACAAACAUUACUUACUGCCUCUUCAAAUCAUGCAGAAAUAAUACAAUGCAUGAGGCUAGCCAAAAGUUUAUUUCGCUAAAGCAAAUGAUCCAACAUAUCCAGAAUAUAUAUAAUUUACCUCUACAAGAAAAGACACCAACUAUCUUAUACGAAGAUAAUGUAGCUUGUAUAGCUUAAUUAAAAGGAGAAUAAAUUAAAGGAGAUAGAAUGAAACAUAUUAUAUCGAAAUUGUUUUUCACUUGUGCUAUUAAGAAGAAAAGUGAUAUUGAAGUUUAAUAGAUUCAUUCUAGUGAUAAUUUAGUAGAUCUAUUUACCAAAGCAUUGCCAACUGCAUCAUUUGAAAGGCUAGUAUACAAAAUUAGAAUGCAUCAUCUCAAAGAUGUUAAGUGACGUUGUCAUUAGGGGUGACCAAAUACAUGUAUUCUUUUUCUUUAAUCAAGGUUUUGUCUUAUCAAAUUUUCCUGGUAAAGGUUUUUAAUAAAGCAACUUACAAUAAGAGUUUGUAUACUUUUUUUUCCUUCAUUAGGUUUUAUCCCACAAAGGUUUUGCUAAUAAAGAUUUUAAUAAGUCACACUUUUGUUUUAAUGAGCGUCCAAGAUGAAGUGUUAUAAAUAUAUUAAAAGUGGAUGUCUAUAAUCCCUUUAAACCCUCCCAUUAAUUUAUGAGAUAAACUCGUCUCAUCCAUUUAUGAAAAUGAGAGUAAAAUGGAUAUUUCAAUGAAGCAAUCAAGAAAGAUUCAUUUAUUUUUACUUCAUCGAAUGUAAAUAGAGUCAUUGUAAGUGAAAAAUGAAAUACGAGAAAUUUUUUAAUCUCUUUCUAGUAUAAUUUUUUAUUUAUUCUAUAACAAUAUUGUGUUUUUUUAUAAAACUUUUAUCAUUUAAAAGUAUGAUACUAAAAUAUAUUGUUGGAAUGUCCGUGGUUUGGGGAGGCCACGGGUUGUAAGGAGACUUUGACAUAUGCUGAAGAUGUAUAAUCCCAAAAUUGUAUUCUUUAUGGAGACUAAAUUAAGUUCAAGAAGAAUGGAGAAUGUUUGCAGAAGAUGUGGUUUUUUGAAUGGGUUUGAUAUUGCAGCUGAAGAAUCUAGAGGGGGUUUGAUGGUUAGGGCCCCAUAAUGCUCUAAUUUAGAAGAGGUGAUUCCACGAUUACUUUGAGGAGUUUUUUAGAACACCAUAUUGAUGCCGAAGUUAGAGAGGGUGUGAAGGGUAAUAUUUGGAGAUUUACGAGAUUUUAUGGGGCCCUAGAUUCGUGGAAUAGAGAGGAUACAUGAAAAUUGCUAAGGAUUUUAGGACAACCACAGAAUAUUCCUUGGAUUAUGGGGCAAGAUUUUAAUGAAAGGGAGGAGAUGAGAAUGGAGGCUUUUAGAAAGUUUCUUUGUGAUUGUCAACUAGUGGAUGUGGGUUACUCAUGGCCGUGGUUUACUUGGGAGAUAGGUAAUCUUUCAAAAAUAAAUAUCAGAUAGAGGUUAGAUAGGGGGUAGCGAAUGAAAGAUGGAUGACUGUGUUUCCUAACAUGCACUCUUUUUCUAAUUAUUGACCUCUUCUUAUACAGUCAGAGCUUAAUGACUAUGACUUUUGAUCUAAACGCUUUUGGUUCAAGGCAUGGUGGGUGUUGGAGGAGUCUUUUGAGGAAGAGGUGAAAUGUCUUUGAGAGGGGGACGAUGAUGAUAUUCUCUCUAAGUUAGAGCGCGUUUGGGUUGGCUUAGGGAAAUGGGCAGCGGAUGUAAGAAGAAAAAAAGUAGGGAUCAAGAAAGAGUUAACAAAAAAACUUGGGGAUUUUCUGGUCAGGGAAAAAGAUGACAACAAUCUUUUGGAGUUGAUUACACCAAAAUUCAGUUAAAUUUCGAGAUUGAUAAGGAUGAACAGUUUUGAGAGCAGAUAGCAAGGGCGAAUUGGUUGAGGUUGAGGAAUAAAAACACGACUUUUUUCAUAACUUUGCUAAAAUGGAUAGUAUUGUUCGAAAUUAUUUCUAAUCCUUUUUUGAGUCAAUGAAGAUCAAAGAUACAUAACAUAUUCUGUCUGGGGUAGGAAGAUGUAUCUCCAAUGAGGCAAAUGCUUUGUUGACAGAACAGCACACGAUGAAAGAAUAUGGGACCAACAAAGGCAUCAGGGGAUGAUGACUUUCCGGCUCUUUUCUACUAAAGGUAUUGGCACAUUGUUGGGAAGGACAUUACUUCUUCUUGCUUAAAGGUCCUGAAUAAAGGUAAACCUCUAGUUCCAUUAAAUGUUACAAAUAUUGUGCUCAUUCCUAAAAUCCCAUGCCCGAUGAAUUUAAUGAAUUUUAGGCCAAUUAGUUUAUGCACGGUUCAUGCUUUUUGUUGCCUAAGUCAUUGUGUCAAAAACCGGAAAGCAUAAUAACAAGGUUUUGGUAGCAGAGAAGUCAUGGCAGAAAGGGCAUUCAUUGGUGUCAAUGGUCUAGAUUGUCUGAGCUUAAAGAGAAUGGUGGCUUGAGAUUUCAAUGUUUGACUUUGUUUAAUGUUCCUUUGUUAGCCAAAUAGGUUUAGCGUCUUAUUAAUAGUUUGAAUUCAUUAUUAAGUCGAGUGCUAAAAGUUAAGUAUUAUCCGCAAUGUGAACUUUUCCAAGCAAGGUUAGGGAAUCUACUUUCUUUCACCCGGCUAAGCAUUUGGUCAACAAAGGUUUGCUGCAAGAUGGUCUUGGUUGGAGGUGUAAUAGCCCAUUGUUAAUGGUGUCAAAAAUAGUGGUUUCGGGACCAUGAUUUUGAUAAAUGUGUCAAUAAAUAUUAAUUAUUUAACAUUUACGAGUAUUUAUUAAGGUCAUAUUAAAAUUUGGUUAAGAAAUUUUAAGGUUUAAAUAGUUAAUUAAGGAAAAAGGACUAAACUAUAAAUGAUGCAAAAGUUAAAUUCUAUUAGUGAAAGGUAUAAAAUUGUUAUGAGAAAGUGAAUUAAGGGAUUUAUUUAGUAAAUCUACCAUAGGAUAUGAGAAUGGACGGUUAUGGACUUUGUAUAGAUAAAAUUAAGUUGAAUGUUUAAAGGGUAAAUUAGUAAUUAAUCUAAUAAAUACAUAAACAAAUAAGUAAAAAUUAGUGCCAUCUUCUUCCUUACCUAUUUUUUUUACCGAAAUUACCAUGGGAGAGUAGAGAACAAUCGGCCAACCUUUGUUUCAUAUGCAUGGUAUGUAAAAAUUGUUCGUUUUUAAUUAAUUUUAUCUUUAACUUCGUAUUAGCUUAAUCUAACUAACCCAGGGGUCAAUUCAUAAAAUUUUUAAAAUUUUAGGGACUUGUCAUGAAUGAAUUUAGUUGAUAAAUUAUUAAGGUUGGUAGUUAAAUAUAACUAUUUUAUUAAGUGAUUUUUGAUGAUUUUAAUGUUUAGGGACCUAUUUGAGAAAAUAGUAAAAUUUAAUGGAAUUAGGAUGAAAUGAUGAAUGAUAUGGGCUAUAAUGAAACCCUAUGAAAUUUGGUUAAUAAGGUUUUUCUUUAAAAAUGGUAAAUUUGCAAGUUUUGGGUUUAGGGACUAAAUUGUGCUAAGGUUAAAAUGCCAGGGGUAAUUUUAUAAAUUCACAUUAAAAGGGCUAAAAGCUUGAAUUAAUUAUUUUAAGUUAUUUGAAUUAUUCAAUUGAAUGAAAUUAUUAUUUAGAUCAAGAAACGAACAAACCAACGAACAAACCAAACUUGAAUCGUGGUAAAGCUAAGGUUUCGAAUUAGUCAUCGACUCUACUUUUGUAACCGUGUUAGUCGAGGUAAGUUUGUAUAAGUAUUAAACUUAUUAAUUAAUGUUUUGAUUGUAUGUUAAUAAAUAUUGUGCUAUGUAUAAUUUAACUUGAUAAUUGUACGAUGUUUUGGAUAUUGGAUCAAAUUGCGAUGUUAAUUAAAUUGGAUUGUUUAAUGGUCCUGUUUGAACCUUAUGAAUACUUGGGAUACAAAUGACAUGUUAUUAGGGUUAUACGAUUUCAGGUGCUAGUCUUGGAUGUCCUACCGAUGGUUGAGGUCAUGCAUUUGUUGUGGAUUCUUCACAGCUCGUGUAAGUAGCAUCAUGUAGCUUAACAUCUCGACCCACAGCUCGUGUGAGCAGACCCAUUUCACAGCUUGUGUGAGCAUUACAAAUACAGUUAAAAUUAUAUGUACAGGCACACUUUGUGUGAGCAUGUUUCUUGAGUAACUGACGUCAUUUCAUUUGGUUCAAUUGGUAAUUAAAGCUUUUAAAGAGUAUAUGAAUAUAUAAAAUGAUUAUUGAUAUUGAAUGAUGAUAUAAACUAUAUUGAUAUGAGUAUUUGAUAUUUUUGUUAUAAUAUAUGACAUGGUUUGGUUGGAUUUACAAGUGCAUUAUUACACCUACUAACUUUGUGAAAUGGUGUGUAUAGGAAAGGAAACUAUGCACGUGACAUAAUGAAUUUAUGCUUGGUUGUUAGAUAUAAUGUGUGCGGUAAGUUUAAGUUUUCUUUAUACGAGUUUACUAAGUAUUAAUUGCUUAUAUAGUUAUUUUCUCUAUUUUAUAGAUCCUCGAAAAGCUCAAUUGGUUGGAAUCGCGUCAUAGCACGAUCACACUAUCCAAUCAUCAUUUUGGUAGUUUUUGGUUAUUCUAGUAUAAGGUUAUAAAUGACAUGUAUUAGGGUUGAUUGUUAACUUGAUAAUUUGGUAUGUUUUGAAUUGUGUCAAACUUAUGUGUGCCUUAAUGUUUAAUUACUGGUUUGCAAAAAUAAGGUAAAUAGGUGUGUUAUUGAACCCUUAUGCAUGCCCAUGAGACUAUAGGUAAAUCAUUAUUGGAUGAUAUGCUUAUGAAAUGGUUUUGGCAUGUCUGAUGUGUAAUGAAUGAACUUAUAAUGUUGAAUGGAAUUAAGUCUGAUUUGUGAUUGUGGUGCCUUUUGUUGGCAUAUUGGUUAGGUCUUAUAAGAUGGUUGGUUUGGUAUGAUUUGGAGUAUGUUUGAAUGUGUUUUGGUCAUAUACAUGCAUGUAGAAAUGAGAUGACUUUUUGUUUAAGCAAUUGGGCAUGACAUGGCUUUUUUUAGAGGCAAUUAUAAAGCACAUAGCAUGGGAUAUGGGCUAUCACAUGGCUGUGUGUCAUUUAAAUUUUAGGUGCAAGAUAAACCACACGGGCACAAUGAGUUACACGACCGUGUGACCAAACUUCGAAUGCACACAUGGUCUGGCACAUGGCCUGCAACAUAGUCAUAUGAACCUAUUUUGAAUUUCCACACAGGCAGAUACACGGGUUAGAACAUGCCCGUGUGUCUCAUACAUCAAAUACUCACAUGACUUGGGCUAUGCCACACGGCCGUAUGACCCUUGUUUUCAAGAUUUUUCAAUUAUUCUAAAAUUUUCUAUUUUGUUUCAAAUUGAUUCCCAAACAUUUCCAAACAAUUUUUUGGGCAUCGUAGGCUCAAUUUAAUGCCCGUAAGUGUAUUUUUACAUAAAUUAAAAUGAAUUAUUGAAUUUUUUAAUUUAAUUUGCUUAUUUGUUUUUAUUAAAGUUAAAUGUUCCAAUUUGCAUAAUAAUGCUUCAUAGCCCUACUCUAACAAUGGAGACGAGUUAAGGGUGUUAUAGAAUGGUUGGUAAAGUAAAUCGAAUCUCUAUUCAAGAGGAUGCUUGGUUGGCAAGGGCUAAAAAUUACAGAGUAUAUGGGAAUAUCAACAACAGUAACAUCGAAAAGGUAUAUGAUUUAAUUGACCAUUCUCAUAGCAAAUGGAAUGUGGGGUUGAUAAAGGAUACCUUUGAGGAAAGUGUUGCAGAAAAAAUUCUAAGACUCCCUUUAGCUAGGUUGGAGCAUGAGGAUAUGUUAGUGUGGAGAGGCGAACCUUCAGGUGUUUUCUCGGUGAGAAGUGCUUAUAAGCUACUCCUUAAGGGUGGUCGAGACAAUCAACAUACAGAUUUUCAUAAUACCAUGAAAGGCCUUUACAAAAAUUUGUGGAAACUAAAAUUAACUACAAAACAGAAAAUUACAGCUUGGAAAACUUUCUGGAACUUUCUGCCUACACUAGUUAAUCUCUAUAAUAGAAGAAUUGAGGUUAACACAAUAUGUCAUAGAUGUGGAGGGGGUCCAGAAACUGUAGGCCAUGUGGGAUUGUCCUGUCAUAGUGGAAAUAUGGAAUAUGCUUAACCUCGUUUGGAUACUAUCUCAACCUCUGCUAAAUACAAGGGAAUGGCUAACCUGGGUUUUUCAUAAUGGCUCAGUUGAUAGCUGCAGGAAGAUCUGUUGUGCGACGUGGGUAACCUUGUAUGAGAGAGACAAGGAGUAGAAAUGUACUUGGAUAGAGCCGUACCGGAUUUCGUAGUGUGGUCGCUGGGCUCGGGGACUCCAACGGGAACGAGAACUGAACUGAGCUGUAACACUUUUGUUCUUGAAUUGGUGAGGAGUGCAAAAAUGAAGAUUGAAUGGUUAGGGUAACUGUGCUCUGUGGAACUGGAAUCAUCAAGCAGAAAAUGAGCAUUCUAGAAGGAGACGAUUUGCCAGUUUUCAAAUCAGGCUGGCUGUAUCUUUAAUGCUUUUGUCCUUUUAAGGUUCUUUUUUGUUCUGAGCCAACUCCGAGGUUUUUUACUAAAUUAUUAUAAAAAAUAAAAAAUAUCUAAAAUAUUAUAUAUUUUUUAUUUACCAAAAUAUACAAAAAAACAGAAAAAAGCUGCGCCGAUGUGACAGGACCCUGGUGGAGGGUUUGUGAUUGGCGGCACCAAAGGUGCCUAACUGAUUGGCGGCACCGAUGGUGCCAUACUGGUUGGCGG